GACGAACGCUGGCGGCGUGCUUAACACAUGCAAGUCGAACGGAAAGGCCCUGCUUGCAGGGUACUCGAGUGGCGAACGGGUGAGUAACACGUGGGUGAUCUGCCCUGCACUUCGGGAUAAGCCUGGGAAACUGGGUGUAAUACCGGAUAGGAGACAUUUUUAGUGUGAUGGUUGGAAAGUUUUUUCGGUGUUGGAUGAGCUCGCGGCCUAUCGGCUUGUUGGUGGGGUAAUGGCCUACCGAGGCGGCGAAGGGUAGCCAGCCUGUGGGGGUGGACGGCCACAUAGGGACUGACGGACGGCCCAGGCUCCUACUGGUGGCAGCAGUGGGGAAUAUUGCCCAAGGGGCGCAAGCCUGAUGCAGCGACGCCGCGUGUGGGAUGACGGCCUUCGUGUUGUAAACUCCUUUCGCUAGGGACGAAGCUUUUUGUGACGGUACCUAGAUAAGAAGCACCGGCUAACUACGUG
This 465-nucleotide ribosomal RNA is filed under the name uncultured bacterium. Its description in RNAcentral is "partial 16S ribosomal RNA". It matches the Rfam family "Bacterial small subunit ribosomal RNA", at positions 28 to 507 of the family's 1533-position model. The record is from RNAcentral.